Molecule: long non-coding RNA, 439 nt
Filed under: Mus caroli (Ryukyu mouse)
Lineage: Eukaryota; Metazoa; Chordata; Mammalia; Rodentia; Muridae
Description: predicted gene, 26739 (MGP_CAROLIEiJ_G0006724.1)
Source: RNAcentral
CUGGAAGAACCAGAACACAGAGCGAGCCUAGGGCUCUCACCAGGUGGCCACAGGAAAAGACAUGAAUCCCAAGUGUUGUGAUCAGACCGGUCCUUAUCUCCUGGAGCCUGAAAACCGGCCUCGGACACACACAGGAACUGGCCCGGUAGCCCUCAAGCAGCAGAACCCGUCUGUAUAUCCGUUUCCUGUUUAGUAGCCGUUGGCCAUGAUCUCUGCUCACCCUAGUGCUGACAGGAGCUAUUCACGAUGCUUUAAACUAUUUUAAGCUGGGCAUGAUGGCGCACACCUUUAACCUCAGCGCUCAGAAUGCAGAGGCAGGUGGAUCUCUGUGAAUUUGAGUCUAGCCUGAUCUACAUAGAGAGUUGCAGGGCAGCCAGGGCUACAUAGAGAGACCCUGUAUAGAAACAACAAAGAUAAAAAUGUGGGUUUGCUUUCAUGU